This 68-nucleotide transfer RNA is filed under the name Marmota monax (woodchuck). RNAcentral's name for it is "tRNA.Ala". The record is from RNAcentral. Lineage: Eukaryota; Metazoa; Chordata; Mammalia; Rodentia; Sciuridae.
GUUGUGGCUCAGCGGUAGAGCACUCGCCUAGCAUGUGCAAGGCCCUAGGUUUGAUCCUCAGCACCACA